This 2933-nucleotide ribosomal RNA is filed under the name Yersinia pestis. RNAcentral's name for it is "bacterial LSU rRNA". It matches the Rfam family "Bacterial large subunit ribosomal RNA". The record is from RNAcentral. Lineage: Bacteria; Pseudomonadati; Pseudomonadota; Gammaproteobacteria; Enterobacterales; Yersiniaceae.
GGGUUGUGAGGUUAAGCGACUAAGCGUACACGGUGGAUGCCUAGGCAGUCAGAGGCGAUGAAGGGCGUGCUAAUCUGCGAAAAGCGUCGGUAAGCUGAUAUGAAGCGUUAUAACCGACGAUACCCGAAUGGGGAAACCCAGUGCAAUACGUUGCACUAUCGUUAGAUGAAUACAUAGUCUAACGAGGCGAACCGGGGGAACUGAAACAUCUAAGUACCCCGAGGAAAAGAAAUCAACCGAGAUUCCCCCAGUAGCGGCGAGCGAACGGGGAGGAGCCCAGAGUCUGAAUCAGUUUGUGUGUUAGUGGAAGCGUCUGGAAAGUCGCACGGUACAGGGUGAUAGUCCCGUACACCAAAAUGCACAGGCUGUGAACUCGAUGAGUAGGGCGGGACACGUGACAUCCUGUCUGAAUAUGGGGGGACCAUCCUCCAAGGCUAAAUACUCCUGACUGACCGAUAGUGAACCAGUACCGUGAGGGAAAGGCGAAAAGAACCCCGGCGAGGGGAGUGAAAUAGAACCUGAAACCGUGUACGUACAAGCAGUGGGAGCACCUUCGUGGUGUGACUGCGUACCUUUUGUAUAAUGGGUCAGCGACUUAUAUUUUGUAGCAAGGUUAACCGAAUAGGGGAGCCGUAGGGAAACCGAGUCUUAACUGGGCGUCUAGUUGCAAGGUAUAGACCCGAAACCCGGUGAUCUAGCCAUGGGCAGGUUGAAGGUUGGGUAACACUAACUGGAGGACCGAACCGACUAAUGUUGAAAAAUUAGCGGAUGACUUGUGGCUGGGGGUGAAAGGCCAAUCAAACCGGGAGAUAGCUGGUUCUCCCCGAAAGCUAUUUAGGUAGCGCCUCGUGAACUCAUCUUCGGGGGUAGAGCACUGUUUCGGCUAGGGGGCCAUCCCGGCUUACCAAACCGAUGCAAACUCCGAAUACCGAAGAAUGUUAUCACGGGAGACACACGGCGGGUGCUAACGUCCGUCGUGAAGAGGGAAACAACCCAGACCGCCAGCUAAGGUCCCAAAGUCAUGGUUAAGUGGGAAACGAUGUGGGAAGGCACAGACAGCCAGGAUGUUGGCUUAGAAGCAGCCAUCAUUUAAAGAAAGCGUAAUAGCUCACUGGUCGAGUCGGCCUGCGCGGAAGAUGUAACGGGGCUAAACCAUGCACCGAAGCUGCGGCAGCGACACUUAGGUGUUGUUGGGUAGGGGAGCGUUCUGUAAGCCGUUGAAGGUGACCUGUGAGGGUUGCUGGAGGUAUCAGAAGUGCGAAUGCUGACAUAAGUAACGAUAAUGCGGGUGAAAAACCCGCACGCCGGAAGACCAAGGGUUCCUGUCCAACGUUAAUCGGGGCAGGGUGAGUCGACCCCUAAGGCGAGGCUGAAAAGCGUAGUCGAUGGGAAACAGGUUAAUAUUCCUGUACUUGGUGUUACUGCGAAGGGGGGACGGAGAAGGCUAGGCUGGCCGGGCGACGGUUGUCCCGGUUUAAGCGUGUAGGGGGAGUGACCAGGUAAAUCCGGUUGCUUAUCAACCCUGAGGCGUGAUGACGAUGCACCACGGUGCAGAAGCAGUUGAUGCCAUGCUUCCAGGAAAAGCCUCUAAGCAUCAGGUAACAUUAAAUCGUACCCCAAACCGACACAGGUGGUCAGGUAGAGAAUACUCAGGCGCUUGAGAGAACUCGGGUGAAGGAACUAGGCAAAAUGGUGCCGUAACUUCGGGAGAAGGCACGCUGGCGUUAGGUGAAAGGACUAGCUCCUGGAGCUGAAGCCAGUCGCAGAUACCAGCUGGCUGCAACUGUUUAAUAAAAACACAGCACUGUGCAAACACGAAAGUGGACGUAUACAGUGUGACGCCUGCCCGGUGCUGGAAGGUUAAUUGAUGGGGUCAGCCGCAAGGCGAAGCUCUUGAUCGAAGCCCCAGUAAACGGCGGCCGUAACUAUAACGGUCCUAAGGUAGCGAAAUUCCUUGUCGGGUAAGUUCCGACCUGCACGAAUGGCGUAAUGAUGGCCAGGCUGUCUCCACCCGAGACUCAGUGAAAUUGAACUCGCUGUGAAGAUGCAGUGUACCCGCGGCAAGACGGAAAGACCCCGUGAACCUUUACUAUAGCUUGACACUGAACAUUGAGCCUUGAUGUGUAGGAUAGGUGGGAGGCCUUGAAGUGUGGACGCCAGUCUGCAUGGAGCCAACCUUGAAAUACCACCCUUUAAUGUUUGAUGUUCUAACUCGGCCCCAUGAUCUGGGGUGAGGACAGUGUCUGGUGGGUAGUUUGACUGGGGCGGUCUCCUCCCAAAGAGUAACGGAGGAGCACGAAGGUUAGCUAAUCACGGUCGGACAUCGUGAGGUUAGUGCAAAGGCAUAAGCUAGCUUGACUGCGAGAGUGACGGCUCGAGCAGGUACGAAAGUAGGUCUUAGUGAUCCGGUGGUUCUGAAUGGAAGGGCCAUCGCUCAACGGAUAAAAGGUACUCCGGGGAUAACAGGCUGAUACCGCCCAAGAGUUCAUAUCGACGGCGGUGUUUGGCACCUCGAUGUCGGCUCAUCACAUCCUGGGGCUGAAGUAGGUCCCAAGGGUAUGGCUGUUCGCCAUUUAAAGUGGUACGCGAGCUGGGUUUAGAACGUCGUGAGACAGUUCGGUCCCUAUCUGCCGUGGGCGUUGGAAGAUUGAGAGGGGCUGCUCCUAGUACGAGAGGACCGGAGUGGACGAAUCACUGGUGUUCGGGUUGUCAUGCCAAUGGCAUUGCCCGGUAGCUAAAUUCGGAAGAGAUAACCGCUGAAAGCAUCUAAGCGGGAAACUUGCCUCGAGAUGAGUCUUCCCUGGGGCUUAAAGCCCCUGAAGGAACGUUAAAGACUAUGACGUUGAUAGGCUGGGUGUGUAAGUGCAGCGAUGUAUUGAGCUAACCAGUACUAAUGAUCCGUGAGGCUUAACCUUACAACACCGAAGGUGUUU